This 484-nucleotide ribosomal RNA is filed under the name uncultured Pseudomonadota bacterium. Its description in RNAcentral is "bacterial SSU rRNA". It matches the Rfam family "Bacterial small subunit ribosomal RNA", at positions 355 to 858 of the family's 1533-position model. The record is from RNAcentral. Lineage: Bacteria; Pseudomonadati; Pseudomonadota.
UGGGGAAUAUUGGACAAUGGGCGCAAGCCUGAUCCAGCCAUGCCGCGUGAGUGAUGAAGGCCCUAGGGUUGUAAAGCUCUUUUGUGCGGGAAGAUAAUGACGGUACCGCAAGAAUAAGCCCCGGCUAACUUCGUGCCAGCAGCCGCGGUAAUACGAAGGGGGCUAGCGUUGCUCGGAAUCACUGGGCGUAAAGGGUGCGUAGGCGGGUCUUUAAGUCAGGGGUGAAAUCCUGGAGCUCAACUCCAGAACUGCCUUUGAUACUGAAGAUCUUGAGUUCGGGAGAGGUGAGUGGAACUGCGAGUGUAGAGGUGAAAUUCGUAGAUAUUCGCAAGAACACCAGUGGCGAAGGCGGCUCACUGGCCCGAUACUGACGCUGAGGCACGAAAGCGUGGGAGCAAACAGGAUUAGAUACCCUGGUAGUCCACGCCGUAAACGAUGAAUGCCAGCCGUUAGUGGGUUUACUCACUAGUGGCGCAGCUAACGU